RNAcentral lists this microRNA precursor (112 nucleotides) under Manihot esculenta (cassava). RNAcentral describes it as "precursor microRNA miR403b". It matches the Rfam family "MIR403 microRNA precursor family". The record is from RNAcentral. Lineage: Eukaryota; Viridiplantae; Streptophyta; Magnoliopsida; Malpighiales; Euphorbiaceae.
GGCAUAUUUCAGGUUUGUGCGUGAAUCUAAUAUAGACAUUUUUCUUUCCACAAAAGAUCGUAAAAUUCUCUCUAGGAUCUUGUUAGAUUCACGCACAAACUCGUAAUCUGCC